This 246-nucleotide ribosomal RNA is filed under the name uncultured bacterium. RNAcentral describes it as "partial 16S ribosomal RNA". It matches the Rfam family "Bacterial small subunit ribosomal RNA", at positions 527 to 772 of the family's 1533-position model. The record is from RNAcentral.
GUAGGGGGCGAGCGUUAUCCGGAUUUACUGGGUGUAAAGGGAGCGUAGACGGCCAUGCAAGCUCGGUGUGAAAGGUGCGGGCACAACCCGCAGACUGCACUGAGAACUGUAUGGCUGGAGUGCCGGAGGGGCAGGCGGAAUUCCUGGUGUAGCGGUGAAAUGCGUAGAUAUCAGGAGGAACACCGGUGGCGAAGGCGGCCUGCUGGACGGCGACUGACGUUGAGGCUCGAAAGCGUGGGGAGCGAA